GACGAACGCUGGCGGCGUGCCUAACACAUGCAAGUCGAGCGAUGAAACUUUCUUCGGGAAGUGAAUUAGCGGCGGACGGGUGAGUAUCACGUGGGCAACCUGCCUCAAAGAGGGGAAUAGCCUUCCGAAAGGAAGAUUAAUACCGCAUAAUAUUAGAAAUUCGCAUGAAUUUCUAAUCAAAGGAGUAAUCCGCUUUGAGAUGGGCCCGCGGCGCAUUAGCUAGUUGGUGGGGUAAUAGCCUACCAAGGCAACGAUGCGUAGCCGACCUGAGAGGGUGAACGGCCACAUUGGAACUGAGAUACGGUCCAGACUCCUACGGGAGGCAGCAGUGGGGAAUAUUGCGCAAUGGGGGAAACCCUGACGCAGCAACGCCGCGUGAGCGAUGAAGGUCUUCGGAUCGUAAAGCUCUGUCUUUUGGGACGAUAAUGACGGUACCAAAAGAGGAAGCCACGGCUAACUACGUGCCAGCAGCCGCGGUAAUACGUAGGUGGCGAGCGUUGUCCGGAAUUACUGGGCGUAAAGGGUGCGUAGGCGGAUAUUUAAGUCAGAUGUGAAAUACCCAGGCUUAACUUGGGAGUUGCAUUUGAAACUGGAUAUCUAGAGUGCAGGAGAGGAAAGCGGAAUUCCUAGUGUAGCGGUGAAAUGCGUAGAGAUUAGGAAGAACACCAGUGGCGAAGGCGGCUUUCUGGACUGUAACUGACGCUGAGGCACGAAAGCGUGGGUAGCAAACAGGAUUAGAUACCCUGGUAGUCCACGCUGUAAACGAUGAAUACUAGGUGUAGGAGGUAUCAUCCCUUCUGUGCCGCAGUUAACACAAUAAGUAUUCCGCCUGGGGAGUACGGUCGCAAGAUUAA
RNAcentral lists this ribosomal RNA (854 nucleotides) under uncultured bacterium. Its description in RNAcentral is "bacterial SSU rRNA". It matches the Rfam family "Bacterial small subunit ribosomal RNA", at positions 28 to 897 of the family's 1533-position model. The record is from RNAcentral.